GAUGAACGCUGGCGGCGUGCCUAAUACAUGCAAGUCGAGCGAACAGACGAGAAGCUUGCUUUUCUGAUGUUAGCGGCGGACGGGUGAGUAACACGUGGAUAACCUACCUAUAAGACUGGGAUAACUUCGGGAAACCGGAGCUAAUACCGGAUAAUAUUUUGAACCGCAUGGUUCAAAAGUGAAAGACGGUCUUGCUGUCACUUAUAGAUGGAUCCGCGCUGCAUUAGCUAGUUGGUAAGGUAACGGCUUACCAAGGCAACGAUGCAUAGCCGACCUGAGAGGGUGAUCGGCCACACUGGAACUGAGACACGGUCCAGACUCCUACGGGAGGCAGCAGUAGGGAAUCUUCCGCAAUGGGCGAAAGCCUGACGGAGCAACGCCGCGUGAGUGAUGAAGGUCUUCGGAUCGUAAAACUCUGUUAUUAGGGAAGAACAUAUGUGUAAGUAACUAUGCACGUCUUGACGGUACCUAAUCAGAAAGCCACGGCUAACUACGUG
RNAcentral lists this ribosomal RNA (497 nucleotides) under uncultured bacterium. RNAcentral's name for it is "partial 16S ribosomal RNA". It matches the Rfam family "Bacterial small subunit ribosomal RNA", at positions 28 to 507 of the family's 1533-position model. The record is from RNAcentral.